Gopherus flavomarginatus (Mexican gopher tortoise) is the source of this 323-nucleotide long non-coding RNA. RefSeq lists it as uncharacterized. The record is from RefSeq and is a predicted model, not a curated record. Lineage: Eukaryota; Metazoa; Chordata; Testudines; Testudinidae. The transcript is spliced from 2 exons.
GCAAAGAUCAACAGCAAGUUGAAUAGUACACAGUGCCCACAGGGUGUGACUGGUGCUCUCUCUCCUGUUCUUAAAAGAGAAGUGGGACCUUACAAGUAAUGGAACAAUUUGCUGUUUCAAGUCAGCUCUUACCUUUUUAUUCAUUUCCCUGCACCUCCCCACAAAUUUCUCCCCCCACCAUCCACAUCUUCCAGCUCUCAAACGACACUUCAUAGCAGCGACCCUCAUUCCAGCCAACAGACAGAGAUUUCACAAACACUACAUUUACUUUUUUAAACUAAACAAUACAUACUCUUCAAUAAAGUGUUUUUGUUUACACAGAA